GAAGGCUGGUGGGAGGAGGGGCAGUCUCCAAGAGCCCCUGAAAUCCUCACACCUGGGUUCCUACCUGCUGUUUCCAGCUAGGGGAAGGCGCAGGAGUGAGGAAUGGAGGGAGUGGAGGGCUCUGGCCGAUCAAUGCCUUCUCUCUCUCUCUGCCUCUCAGAUUGACGGCGUGGAGGACAUGCUUCUUGAGCUGCUGCCAGAUGACUGAUGUCUUGCAGCACCUGUCUCCUUUCACCCCAGGGCCUGAGCCUGGCCAGCCUACAAUGGGGAUGUUGUGUUUCUGUUCACCUUCGUUUACUACGUCUGUGUCUUCUCCUCCAUCACGCUGGGGUCUUGGAGGAAUGGACAGACAGAGGAUGAGCUCUACCCA
Molecule: small RNA, 370 nt
Filed under: Pan troglodytes (chimpanzee)
Lineage: Eukaryota; Metazoa; Chordata; Mammalia; Primates; Hominidae
Description: retained intron
Source: RNAcentral